AGACGGGACCCGCACAAGCGGUGGAUGAUGUGGAUUAAUUCGAUGCAACGACGAAAACCUUACCUACCUUGACAUGUCCGGAAUCCCGAAGAGAUUUGGGAGUGCUCGCAAGAGAACCGGAACACAGGUGCUGCAUGGCUGUCGUCAGCUCGUGUCGUGAGAUGUUGGGUUAAGUCCCGCAACGAGCGCAACCCUUGUCAUUAGUUGCCAUCAUUUGGUUGGGCACUCUAAUGAGACUGCCGGUGACAAACCGGAGGAAGGUGGGGAUGACGUCAAGUCCUCAUGGCCCUUAUGGGUAGGGCUUCACACGUCAUACAAUGGUCGGUACAGAGGGUUGCCAACCCGCGAGGGGGAGCUAAUCCCACAAAGCCGAUCGUAGUCCGGAUCGCAGUCUGCAACUCGCCUGCAUGAAGCCGGAAUCGCUAGUAAUCGCGGAUCAGCAUGCCGCGGUCGAAUACGUUCCCGGGCCUU
Molecule: ribosomal RNA, 471 nt
Filed under: uncultured Rhodocyclaceae bacterium
Lineage: Bacteria; Pseudomonadati; Pseudomonadota; Betaproteobacteria; Rhodocyclales; Rhodocyclaceae
Description: bacterial SSU rRNA
Rfam family: Bacterial small subunit ribosomal RNA
Source: RNAcentral